UUGCACAUAUUUACCGGAUACAGACAUGCAACGUCACGAUGAGGAGAUAUGUGACGUUGCGACGAUACAAUGAGCAAGGGACAACGUCACGAUGAGGGUCAUCAGAAUGAAGCGACAAUUUCUUGAGGCAAGAGCAAGGGCGAUGUCAUGACGAUAUCUCACCUAAUAUAGUUGUAUUUUAAACUCCUAACAGGACUUCUUCUUUGAGUUGAACUCUAAUUACUUUAGGGAUAUUUUAGUCAUUUAUCCCUUCUAUCUCAACCUAUUUAAAAGGGCUCUUGUAUCCUUGUUUUGAUAUGUCAAUUAGUAAGAACUUUCCUUUGAAGGCCAUAAGAUGUAGUCGCAUAUGAGUUUGAGAGAGUCUUUUAUGUUAACUAUAGAGAAAAAAAAUUCGAGUUAGGGCUUUGUUUUCAGGGUUUGGUAAUGUACAUUUAGUACGUUUGGGUUUAUUUUUUUUUCAUAUUAUACUAUUGUUUGUUUACUCAUUUAGUGAAAUGUCAAAGCCUCAUUUGCCCGUGGUUUAUAUUCUCUUCAAAGAAGUUUUCCACGUAAAUAUUUGUGUGUUUGAUCUUCUAUAUUUUACUUGUUCAUUGCUUGUAUGGGUUGAUCCCCAAUAAAUUGGUUUCAGAGUAAGGUUCAACUUCCACAAAUUGACUCUUUUAGUGAAACAACAAUGAAUUUGGAUAUCUAAAAAUUCAACGAGAUCAAAAAUUUCAGUUUCUGACAGUUUCAGAUAAUUACAGAGGUAGCUGAUGUGGCCAAACACAAGUGUGAUGAUUUGUUGUUCUUUACAUAUAAUCCGGUUGAAGGUGGAGUCGUCUCAGAUGUCAAACAUGUGCUUGAUUUAAAGAAUAGUCCCAUCCUCUUUUGGUCUUUAGGGUUCGAAUGGUUUGUAGAAUGUUGAUGUAAGGUUUGUCACAAAGGGUUACAUUCAAGUGAAAAGAGUUGAUGUUUUCUCUCCUGUUCAAGUAUUACUAGCUCUUAUUGCAUUAUACAAUUUUGAUUUGAAGACUAAAAAUUUUUCAAUUUCCAAGUUUAAGUAUGAUUUAGACUUAGUUGACAUUCUGCAAAAUUCAAGUUAUGCCCAUGACAGGCAUGGAAAAGGAAACAUGAUAAAUACGAGUCAAAGUAGAGAUAUAUGGGGUGUGCCUCGCAUUUAUCAGAAGUUUUGCAGGCACUUAUCGAAGACAGAAGCUCAACAUCACAACGAGGAGGCAGGGGCGAAGCCAGAAAAAUUUUUUAGGGGGGCCGAAUAAAAUUUUAAUUUUUUAUAGUUUAUAUAUUUAUAAUUUGUAAAGGAUUAAAUCAGAUUUUUAUAAUUUUAGGGGGGCCAAAGUAAAAUUUUACCUUUACUAAUUUAAAAUUUUAAAAAAAAUUUAAGGACCUAAAAUGCAAUUUUACAUUUUAAGGGGGCUGGGGCCCAUGCCAGGCCCCCCUGGCUACGCCCCUGUGAGAAUGUAUGUGACGUUGCGACAACGCGACAAUCAAUGGACGAUGUCAUGACGAGGGUCGUCAAGACGAGGCGAAGAUCUCUUGAGGCAGGAGCAAGGGCGAAGUCAUGAUAAGGAGAGUCGUGAUGUCGCAACGAUAUUUCACCUAAUGUAGCCGCGUUUUAGACUCCAAGUAGGACUUCUUCUCCCAGUUGAACUCUGAUUACUUCAAGGAUAUUUUAGUCAUUUUAGCUCUUUUAUCUCAACCUAUUUAAAGGGGUCAUUCUAUCCAUGUUUUGAUUUGCCAAUCAGCAAUGACUUUUCUUUGUGGGCCACAAUAUGUAGUCGCAUAUAAGUUUGAAAGAAUUUUUGGUGUUAACUAUAGAGAGAAAUUUGUUCCCAAGUUAGGGUUUUGUUUCGGGAUUUGGUAAUGUAUGCUUAGUACAUUUAGGUUUACUUUCUCCAUAUUAUACUCUUGUUUGUUUACUCAUUUAGUGAAAAGCCAAAGCCUCUUUUGCUCGUGUUUUUUUAUCCUAUUUAGAGGAGUUUUCCACGUAAAUAUUUGUAUGUUUAAUCUUUUCUAUUUUACUUGUUCGUUGCUUAUAUGGGUCAAUCACCAACAGAUAAAAAGAAAACUAAAAUUUUAAAAACAAUUAAAAUUUUAUAAUCAAGUUUGGUUUAUUUUAAUGUAAUUUUUUAAUUUUAAUUACAAUUUUAUUUUUAUUUUAUAUAUUUUAUGUAAUUUAUUAUGACACCCCACAUCUGAUCUGAUCAUCAAAUUAAAAGUGCGAUGUCACAUUACGUUUCUGAAAUAACUCAAACUAUGUUAAUUCAAUUAUGGAACAUUUAAGUAUAUAAUUAUGAUAUAAUUCAAAAUCAUUUUUAUUUUUAAAUAUAAUAUAUCUAAAAACCUUAUUUAGCUUGAAUUACCAUUUCAUUAAUAUUAUUUAUUCAUAAUGAUCAUGAACACUUCAAUAGCUAUUUAGAAAUUUAGGUACAUAUUAACACAGAAUUUAAGACAAUAAGAAGAAUACAAAAUUGUUGAGAUAAGAAGAGAGUCCUCCUAACAUCAACCACAACUCUACCCUACCCAAUUAUUAUUUGUGCAUAAAAACAGAUAAUUUUGCACGUUGGACAGAGAAGUAGAGAAACUCAGUAGUACUAACAUAAUUUAUGUAUCUAUUAAGUAUAUAUCAUGCUACUUAAUCAAUUAAAUAAUAAUAAUUUCAUUCUUUAGUGCUUUAUCAAGAUCGUCAAAAUUUAAUGUAUGUCUCGUUUAUUAACAAAUAAAUUGUGCCUUCAAGGUUUUGUAUUAGUAAGACUAGUAUCAACAUUUAUGUUCAAUUCAUAAUAUCAUUUCUACUCUAAUUUUAUUUCUAUAAAUCAAAUGCUUCAAUUCGUUUUAUAAUUACAUCGUCCCCCAUGACUUGUAAAUUCGCAUAACCUUUUGCAUGCUAUCAUUCUUCUCAAUUAUAUUAAGGUUCAAUUAAUCAAUUCAAACAUAAAUUAUUUAAGUAAUUCAAUUCUCGUAUUAACAAAUAAAUUUUGCCUUCAAAGCUUUUAUAUUACUAAGAUUAGUAUCUACAUUUGUGUUCCAUUCAUAAUAUCAUAUCUAUUUUGAUCUUUACUCUAUAAAUCGAAUGCUUCAAUUCAUUUUAUAAUGUCAUCAGCCCCUAGGGAUCAUAAUACACAAAUUCACAUAAUCUUUUACAUGCUAUGGUUCUCACUUGUAUUAAAGUUCAAAUGAUUAAUUCAAGCUUUUAUUUGCAUACAACUUAUAUUUUAACCAUGUUAUAUUUAUACUUAAGAAGUCUCUAUUGUCUAAACACGGUUUCAAAAUCAAUACACGGAAUAAUUCACUAUCACACCAACAUAACAUGUACCUAGUGCUCAUCGAUAUGUUCUCAUAGACAUCCAAUACUUUUGAGAACUAUCGAAGUAAUAUACAUCUGACGCUAAAUAUAUAUGCACCUAGUGCUCAUCGUUAGGUUCAAAAUAUAUGUACCCAACACUCAUCGGUAUAUUACCAAAAUAAAGAGUACUCAAUACGAAGUAAAUUGCAAACGCCACUAAAACUUAUUUGUUAAUAGGGCAUCAUUCUUUACUAUUCCUUACUAAAACUUAUUGUACCGUAUAUAGUAUUAUCUAACACAAUUCACAAUCGCAAUUAUAUAUGUAUAUAUAAUUUGACAUAAGUCAAUUAAAUUAAAUAGUCAAAUGUAUAUGUCGUUACCUAUAUCAUUCAAUUAUAAUAAACUGAGAACAAUUAUUAGAGAACACAAUCGAAUUUAUUGCUCAUUGUCCGUUUCCUUCUUUCCACUAUUCCACGGACAUUCCAAUUUUUAACCUCGUUUAAUUUAUCAAGUAUAAAACAAUUAAUAAAUUCUCAACUUAAUAUAUAUUAAAAUUAAAUUCAUUUUAUAUACUUUUUUAAAUAUUAAAUGAAAUUUCUAUAUUUUGUAAUUUAUCCAAUUUAAUUUAAUUCUGACUUCCUAAACAUACUAUAAGGACUCUAUUUUAUUAGUAUUUAAUAGCAAUCAUCAAAUAUUUUAUCCUUUACAAACAAAUUCUAUUAACAUAUAAUUAUCUAUAUAAGAGAAUAGAUUGUACGAAACUAUGAUUCUACAUCAUCCUUAUCCUUUUUCAAUAGAAUAGUGACAAAUCAAAUUUUUUCUCUUAAUUUUCAAUUUUUUCUUCUUGAAAAAUUUCAAAUCAAACUAAAAAUGCUAAAAAUCAGGAGAAAAAAUCGAAUUUGCCAUUCUCUUAUUAAAAAGGGAUAAGGAUGACAUAGAAUCACAAUUUCAUAUAAUCAUUUCUCAUCUAUAUAAUUAAUUUUCAAUUUAAGCUUAAAGCAAUACUACCGUUAUGAUUCUAACAAGAUUUUAUAUAAUCUAAUCUCAUCACUUAUUGUUUCAUGGUUACAAAAAAUCAUUAUUUCUUUGUGAACUCAGAGAAAGCUUAACAAUUGGAACAUCUAAUUUUUGGGUUGAAUUAUACUACUUCUAUAAACUAGAAUUUCAUAAAAAUGAAACGGAAAAACUCACCUUCUUUCUUCCUCAAAUCAGUGGAUGACAAUCGAGAGACUCAUCUCCUAUCUCCUUUCCUCUUUUCUUUUCAAUCGGUGUUGGAGGAACAAUAAAAGAAAUUGGAUGACCCACUAAUACAUUUAACUUAAUUAACUAAAACAUCAAUGGCCAUUAAGCCUCCAUAACAACUUGAGUGGAAACCAAUAGCUUGUAUGAUUACAAGCCACUAAUUACGGAAUAAUUACUUUUAAGGACAUGGCUAAUAUCUUAACGAGAGCUUGCACAAAGCUUCAAUCAAAUCUCUUCAUUUCGCUCACUUUGUGAUUUUGCUAAUAUCUAGAGAGCAAAUAUAAAAUAACUUUGGCAAUAGAAGGGAAAAAUUAAAUUGAAAAGAAAAGAAAUGUAGAAUGCCAAAAGGAGCAAUAAAACCAAAAUAUAAGAAAGCUUUUCAAUCAC
RNAcentral lists this long non-coding RNA (4912 nucleotides) under Gossypium barbadense (sea-island cotton). Its description in RNAcentral is "long non-coding RNA (GBAR_LNC011840)". The record is from RNAcentral. Lineage: Eukaryota; Viridiplantae; Streptophyta; Magnoliopsida; Malvales; Malvaceae.